RNAcentral lists this long non-coding RNA (325 nucleotides) under Citrus sinensis (sweet orange). RNAcentral's name for it is "long non-coding RNA (CSIN_LNC003355)". Lineage: Eukaryota; Viridiplantae; Streptophyta; Magnoliopsida; Sapindales; Rutaceae. The record is from RNAcentral.
UGGGAUCGAUCCUUACUCGCUCUGUACUAAUUAUUUUAUAUUAGUGGUAAGGUUUUAAAUUUGGUGCACCUUAACGACACUACCAAAUUUUUGGCGCCGUUGCCGGGGACUAGCGUCUAGUUUGUUUAUUAUCACUCGUUUUAUUUUAUUAUUUUUAUUUUUAUUUCUUUUCUCAUUUUAUUUAUUUAUUUUAUUUUAAUUAGUUAUUUUUUGUUCUAUAUUUAGAUUUUCAUGAGCAUAGAGGACAUUCGAUUGAAACUCGAACAACUUAGAGCAACCUCAUCAUAUUCAGAACUCGAUUUUGCCAUCCACAUUCCACUCCCGA